Molecule: ribosomal RNA, 253 nt
Filed under: uncultured bacterium
Lineage: Bacteria
Description: partial 16S ribosomal RNA
Rfam family: Bacterial small subunit ribosomal RNA
Source: RNAcentral
UACGAAGGGGGCUAGCGUUGUUCGGAUUUACUGGGCGUAAAGCGCACGUAGGCGGGUCGUUAAGUCGGGGGUGAAAUCCUGGAGCUCAACUCCAGAACUGCCUUCGAUACUGGCGACCUAGUGUCCGGAAGAGGUGAGUGGAACUCCUAGUGUAGAGGUGGAAUUCGUAGAUAUUAGGAAGAACACCAGUGGCGAAGGCGGCUCACUGGGCCGGUACUGACGCUGAGGUGCGAAAGCGUGGGGAGCAAACAGG